Molecule: ribosomal RNA, 248 nt
Filed under: uncultured bacterium
Lineage: Bacteria
Description: partial 16S ribosomal RNA
Rfam family: Bacterial small subunit ribosomal RNA
Source: RNAcentral
AAGCCGCGAGGUAGAGCAAAUCUCAAAAAGACAUCUCAGUUCAGAUUGCAGGCUGCAACUCGCCUGCAUGAAGUCGGAAUUGCUAGUAAUCGUAGGUCAGCAUACUACGGUGAAUACGUUCCCGGGCCUUGUACACACCGCCCGUCAAACCAUGAGAGUUGGCAACACCCGAAGUCGGUAGUCUAACCGCAAGGAGGACGCCGCCGAAGGUGGGGUUGAUGAUUAGGGUUAAGUCGUAACAAGGUACC